AGAGUUUGAUCCUGGCUCAGAACGAACGCUGGCGGCGUGGAUAAGACAUGCAAGUCGAACGAGAGAAUUGCUAGCUUGCUAAUAAUUCUCUAGUGGCGCACGGGUGAGUAACACGUGAGUAACCUGCCCCCGAGAGCGGGAUAGCCCUGGGAAACUGGGAUUAAUACCGCAUAGUAUCGAAAGAUUAAAGCAGCAAUGCGCUUGGGGAUGGGCUCGCGGCCUAUUAGUUAGUUGGUGAGGUAACGGCUCACCAAGGCGAUGACGGGUAGCCGGUCUGAGAGGAUGUCCGGCCACACUGGAACUGAGACACGGUCCAGACACCUACGGGUGGCAGCAGUCGAGAAUCAUUCACAAUGGGGGAAACCCUGAUGGUGCGACGCCGCGUGGGGGAAUGAAGGUCUUCGGAUUGUAAACCCCUGUCAUGUGGGAGCAAAUUAAAAAGAUAGUACCACAAGAGGAAGAGGCGGCUAACUCUGUGCCAGCAGCCGCGGUAAUACAGAGGUCUCAAGCGUUGUUCGGAAUCACUGGGCGUAAAGCGUGCGUAGGCUGUUUCGUAAGUCGUGUGUGAAAGGCGCGGGCUCAACCCGCGGACGGCACAUGAUACUGCGAGACUAGAGUAAUGGAGGGGGAACCGGAAUUCUCGGUGUAGCAGUGAAAUGCGUAGAUAUCGAGAGGAACACUCGUGGCGAAGGCGGGUUCCUGGACAUUAACUGACGCUGAGGCACGAAGGCCAGGGGAGCGAAAGGGAUUAGAUACCCCUGUAGUCCUGGCAGUUAACGGUGCACGCUUGGUGUGCGGGGAAUCGACCCCCUGCGUGCCGGAGCUAACGCGUUAAGCGUGCCGCCUGGGGAGUACGGUCGCAAGAUUAAAACUCAAAGAAAUUGACGGGGACCCGCACAAGCGGUGGAGUAUGUGGCUUAAUCCGAUGCAACGCGAAGAACCUUACCUGGGCUUGACAUGUAAUGAACAACAUGUGAAAGCAUGCGACUCUUCGGAGGCGUUACACAGGUGCUGCAUGGCCGUCGUCAGCUCGUGUCGUGAGAUGUUUGGUUAAGUCCAGCAACGAGCGCGACCCCUAUCCUCAGUAGCCAGCGGUUCGGCCGGGCACUCUGUGGAGACUGCCAGGGAUAACCUGGAGGAAGGCGGGGAUGACGUCAAAUCAUCAUGCCCCUUAUGAUUUGGGCUACACACGUGCUACAAUGGCGUAAACAAAGGGAAGCGAGUCUGUGAAGGUAAGCAAAUCCCAAAAAUAACGUCCCAGUUCGGACUGCAGUCUGCAACUCGACUGCACGAAGCUGGAAUCGCUAGUAAUCGCGGAUCAGAAUGCCGCGGUGAAUACGUUCCCGGGUCUUGUACACACCGCCCGUCACACCAUGGGAGUCAGUAACGCCCGAAGUCAGUGACCUAACCGCAAGGGAGGAGCUGCCGAAGGCGGGACCGAUGACUGGGGUGAAGUCGUAACAAGGUA
This 1468-nucleotide ribosomal RNA is filed under the name metagenome. RNAcentral describes it as "bacterial SSU rRNA". It matches the Rfam family "Bacterial small subunit ribosomal RNA". The record is from RNAcentral.